GAUGAACGCUGGCGGCGUGCCUAAUACAUGCAAGUCGAGCGAACGGACGAGAAGCUUGCUUCUCUGAUGUUAGCGGCGGACGGGUGAGUAACACGUGGAUAACCUACCUAUAAGACUGGGAUAACUUCGGGAAACCGGAGCUAAUACCGGAUGAUAUUUUGAACCGCAUGGUUCAAAAGUGAAAGACGGUCUUGCUGUCACUUAUAGAUGGAUCCGCGCUGCAUUAGCUAGUUGGUAAGGUAACGGCUUACCAAGGCAACGAUGCAUAGCCGACCUGAGAGGGUGAUCGGCCACACUGGAACUGAGACACGGUCCAGACUCCUACGGGAGGCAGCAGUAGGGAAUCUUCCGCAAUGGGCGAAAGCCUGACGGAGCAACGCCGCGUGAGUGAUGAAGGUCUUCGGAUCGUAAAACUCUGUUAUUAGGAAGAACAUAUGUGUAAGUAACUGUGCACAUCUUGACGGUACCUAAUCAGAAAGCCACGGCUAACUACGUG
This 496-nucleotide ribosomal RNA is filed under the name uncultured bacterium. RNAcentral's name for it is "partial 16S ribosomal RNA". It matches the Rfam family "Bacterial small subunit ribosomal RNA", at positions 28 to 507 of the family's 1533-position model. The record is from RNAcentral.